This 699-nucleotide ribosomal RNA is filed under the name uncultured bacterium. RNAcentral's name for it is "bacterial SSU rRNA". It matches the Rfam family "Bacterial small subunit ribosomal RNA", at positions 8 to 743 of the family's 1533-position model. The record is from RNAcentral.
AGAGUUUGAUCCUGGCUCAGAACGAACGCUGGCGGCAGGCCUAACACACGCAAGUCGAACGAGAAGCCACCUUCGGGUGGUGGACAGUGGCAGACGGGUGAGUAACGCGUGGGAACGUGCCUUUCGGUUCGGGAUAACCCAGGGAAACUUGGGCUAAUACCGGAUACGCCCUUCGGGGGAAAGAUUCAUUGCCGAAAGAUCGGCCCGCGUCGGAUUAGCUAGUUGGUGGGGUAAAAGCCUACCAAGGCGACGAUCCGUAGCUGGUCUGAGAGGAUGACCAGUCACACUGGGACUGAGACACGGCCCAGACUCCUACGGGAGGCAGCAGUGGGGAAUAUUGGACAAUGGGCGCAAGCCUGAUCCAGCCAUGCCGCGUGGGUGAAGAAGGCCUUAGGGUUGUAAACCCCUUUCAGCGGGGAAGAUAAUGACGGUACCCGCAGAAGAAGCCCCGGCUAACUCCGUGCCAGCAGCCGCGGUAAUACGGAGGGGGCUAGCGUUGUUCGGAAUUACUGGGCGUAAAGCGCGCGUAGGCGGACCUGUAAGUCGGGGGUGAAAGCCCGAGGCUCAACCUCGGAACUGCCUUCGAUACUACAGGUCUUGAGUCCGAGAGAGGUGAGUGGAAUUCCUAGUGUAGAGGUGAAAUUCGUAGAUAUUAGGAAGAACACCAGUGGCGAAAGCGGCUCACUGGCUCGGUACUGA